Molecule: small RNA, 1545 nt
Filed under: uncultured Glomeraceae
Lineage: Eukaryota; Fungi; Glomeromycota; Glomeromycetes; Glomerales; Glomeraceae
Description: eukaryotic LSU rRNA
Rfam family: Eukaryotic large subunit ribosomal RNA (bases 706-1545)
Source: RNAcentral
UAUUGCUCUUGAACGAGGAAUCCCUAGUAAGCACAAGUCAUUAGCUUGUGCUGAUUACGUCCCUGCCCUUUGUACACACCGCCCGUCGCUACUACCGAUUGAAUGGCUUAGUGAGGCCCUCGAAUUGAGGUUCGGAGACUGGCAACAGUUUCUGUUCUUUGAGAAGUUGGUCAAACUUGGUCAUUUAGAGGAAGUAAAAGUCGUAACAAGGUUUCCGUAGGUGAACCUGCGGAAGGAUCAUUACCAAUUUUAGCGAGCCUGGCAUUACGUCCAUGGUCUCGUGAAAUUAUUGUAUUUAAAACCCACACUUCUAUAAUAGAAUAACAUGUAUCAUGAUAAAAAAUUAAAGAUCACUUUCAACAACGGAUCUCUUGGCUCUCGCAUCGAUGAAGAACGUAGCGAAGUGCGAUAAGUAGUGUGAAUUGCAGAAUUCCGUGAAUCAUCGAAUCUUUGAACGCAAAUUGCACUCCCUGGUAUUCCGGGGAGUAUGCCUGUUUGAGGGUCAGUUUAAAUAAAAAUCGGUGUGUUGCUUUUUGUAACGCCUCGGAUUUGGGUUAUCUUAGCCUUUGGGUUAAGAGACCUAAAAUUGACUUUUUUUGUGCAUUUUUAUAGACGUACAUAAGAUAUUUUUUUAUUCGUCUUGGAAUGCCAAAUUUAUUAGGUAUGAUCAUGUUGUGUGAUUUCGUACCUAUAGGUUUCAUCAUCUGACCUCAAAUCAGGUAGGGACACCCGCUGAACUUAAGCAUAUCAAUAAGCGGAGGAAAAGAAAAUAACAAUGAUUCCCCUAGUAACUGCGAGUGAAGAGGGACAAGCUCAAAUUUUAAAUCUGUUAGGUAUCACCUGGCCGAGUUGUAAUUUGAAGAAGCGUUUUCUGCGCUUUUGAUCAGCCCAAGUCCUAUUGAAUGAGGCAUCAUGGAGGGUGAUAAUCCCGUCCGGUUGAUCAAUGCGUUUUACGAUACGCUUUCAAAGAGUCAAGUUGUUUGGGAUAGCAGCUUAAAAUGGGAGGUAAAUUUCUCCUAAGGCUAAAUAUUGGCGAGAGACCGAUAGCGAACAAGUACCGUGAGGGAAAGAUGAAAAGAACUUUGAAAAGAGAGUAAAAUAGUGCGUGAAAUUGUUGAACGGGAAACGAUUGAAGUCAGUCGCACCGAUGGACAAUCAGCCUUUUGAGUGCGAUUCUGUGGGGCAUGAGGAGGAAACCCUCGUGUUUUGCAUAUUUGUGCUCUUUGGGUGUAUUUGUUCGUAUGGUGGGUUAACAUCAAUUUUGGUCGUCAUAAAAUGACGGGAGGAAUGUAGCUUUGGUCUCGUAUUGAAGUGUUAUAGCCUCUGGUAGAUGUGACGACCGGGAUUGAGGAUUGCAACGGAUACCCCUCGGGGCUACUCGCCUGAUCUCUGAUCGUUACUCUGGUGCCGAAAGCUUGCUUAUGUCAUCAAAGUUGAUGGUCAGAAGGUUAGAACGGGUUAAAUUCGUUAAGGAUGUUGACGUAAUGGCUUUAAACGACCCGUCUUGAAACACGGACCAAGGAGUCUAACAUAUAUGCGAGUGUU